AGAGUUUGAUCAUGGCUCAGAAUCAACGCUGGCGGCGUGCCUAACACAUGCAAGUCGAACGCGAAAGCCCCGCAAGGGGUAAGUAGAGUGGCAAACGGGUGAGUAACACGUGGGUGACCUGCCUUCGAGUGGGGGAUAACGUCCCGAAAGGGACGCUAAUACCGCAUGACAUCCUGCGUUUGGAAACGCGGAGAUCAAAGCCUGGGAUCGCAAGACCUGGCGCUUGAAGAGGGGCCCGCGCCUGAUUAGCUAGUUGGUGGGGUAACGGCCUACCAAGGCAACGAUCAGUAUCCGGCCUGAGAGGGCGGACGGACACACUGGGACUGAGACACGGCCCAGACUCCUACGGGAGGCAGCAGUGGGGAAUUGUUCGCAAUGGGCGCAAGCCUGAGACGCAACGCCGCGUGGAGGACGAAGAUCUUCGGGUCGUAAACUCCUGUCGAGCGGGAAGAACGCUUCCCGGGUGAAUAAUCCGGGGAAUUGACGGUACCGCUAAAGGAAGCCCCGGCUAACUCCGUGCCAGCAGCCGCGGUAAUACGGAGGGGGCAAGCGUUGUUCGGAAUUACUGGGCGUAAAGGGCCAGUAGGCGGCCAACUAAGUCGGAUGUGAAAUCCCCAGGCUUAACCUGGGAACUGCAUCCGAUACUGGAUGGCUUGAAUUCGGGAGAGGGAUGCAGAAUUCCAGGUGUAGCGGUGAAAUGCGUAGAUAUCUGGAGGAAUACCGGUGGCGAAGGCGGCAUCCUGGACCGACAUUGACGCUGAACGGCGAAAGCUAGGGGAGCAAACGGGAUUAGAUACCCCGGUAGUCCUAGCCCUAAACGAUGAAUGCUUGGUGUGGCGGGUAUCGAUCCCUGCCGUGCCGAAGCUAACGCAUUAAGCAUUCCGCCUGGGGAGUACGGUCAAUCCCGCGGCCAUGGCGGCCCGGGAGC
This 928-nucleotide ribosomal RNA is filed under the name uncultured bacterium. RNAcentral's name for it is "bacterial SSU rRNA". It matches the Rfam family "Bacterial small subunit ribosomal RNA", at positions 9 to 873 of the family's 1533-position model. The record is from RNAcentral.